UAAAAAUCCAUCUAACUUUAAAAAUAUCAAAAAAUUUCAUAAUUUAUCCAGGAAGUUACUUGGAACCCCUCUAUUUCCCACUCAUCUUCUUUACCAUGUCUUAUGAAUCCCACAAAAAUUAAAAGAUAUCCAUAAAUCAUCGCCAACAAUGAAAAUCUACCCUAGCCAACUUUCAAGAUGGCCUCUCUCCAGCUACUAUUCGAAUUCUCUUCCCAUUCUCUUUCCCUCAUUCACCUAG
This 238-nucleotide unclassified non-coding RNA is filed under the name Hevea brasiliensis (rubber tree). Lineage: Eukaryota; Viridiplantae; Streptophyta; Magnoliopsida; Malpighiales; Euphorbiaceae. The record is from RNAcentral.